AUUCUCACCCAGAGUUCAAAGUCUGACCACCAGACAGUACGGUUUGAAGUAAAAAAGUAGGAUGGAACAAUUUCUAUACUUUGAAGACCAGAAAAAGAAGGAUCAUUUCAGGGCCUUGAAGCACACACACCAAACACUCUUUCCAUCACCACUGCUAUCAAAGAGUGAGGUUGAAUGGAACUUUGAAAAGCUUAGAGAAAAAUUAUCUUGCAGCUUUCAUAUCUAGAUUUGCUUCCUCUCAUAUUAUAAAUUCUUUCUCAAUAUGUAAGAACCAUUUUCACUGCCCUGAAAUUAUUUGUCAUAAAAAUGAGUAACUCCAAAACAUUGUUAUUCCAUAUAUCUAGAGAAGCUAAAAUAUUUUGUGUUGCUUUGUUUCCCAAGGAAAAGUAAAUAUUUAUAUUUUAAGCCCAAGAGAUCUAGAAAGUCAUAAGUUAUAGGUUAUGUUACAAAAGACCAAAAUAAUGUUAUCGCCCUGCAGUUAUCCUUCCUGUCCCCCUCCUCCGUACAAUGCCUUGGAUUGUGUGGUUCCCACCACUAUAUUGCACGAGGUUAUUAAGGUUUUUCUGCUUCUCCUCUUGCACUCCCCAACUCAUUUUUUAAGUCAGAAUUACUUGAAUUACACAUCUUUAUGAUUAAUAGUUAUAAACUGACUACCAAGCAAUUAAUGGCUUUCUAGAAACUGAGAAACCAUGGUGGGAUUUCCAAAGAAAACUCACAAUGUAUUUGAUUAACAGGAUUGGUGUUUUGCAUGUAAACCUGUCUGAUAGCAGGAAUCUGAUUGUAGUUUCUUGGCUCCAUGAUAUCUUGAAGCCAAAUGGCUUGCACAAAAUUGACACUCGGUCUUUUAAAGAGAUUUGAGAUCACUACUCAAAAUGUGACUAUGCGUUCUGAAUUAGCUAUUCAGCCCCUUCAAGUGUCCCCUGCCUAUUAUUUCAAAGGGAAAAAAAGUGGGGGGGAGGAAAUGAGAAAAGUUGCUUUCGGCAUUAGCAUAUAUGGCUCCUAGGACCAGAAAAUAAAGACGGACAUUGCCUGAGUUAAUAGGUAAGCUAGGAGAAAUGUGAAACUAAAAGAGCUGUGAGAUCAAGUGGACAUUAGCACACAACUUUAAAAGGAGAAUGCAUUUUUUAAGCUGCAUGUGAGUGAGUUGUAAGUCUCUUGUGAUACAUGUCUCCAGAAACCCCACAGAUCUCAGCAUGAUUGACAUUUAUGAGAAUGACCUUAAGCUCUGAGCCCUAGGAGCUGACCUCUGUCAAUGCAACAGCCACAGGCUCCUUUGCCCCGUGGCUUCCUGGUGGAUCUGGAAGUGAGCAGUGGGAGAUCAAAAGGUGGGAGGUAGAGUGUGCCUUCCUGUCUGGCAGCUGUUGAGCUGGCUGAACCCACCGAGUUCCUGUCUGUCAGUCCUUCCAGAGCUACAGCCACUCUUCUGAGACCUGAGGUUAGAUGGAGCUGCCCAAGUCUGCACUACAGAUUAUAAAGGAUCGUGCCUCUAAGGUAUCACAACCAAAGCUGAUGGACUUUAGUCUCUAUUCACAGAGACUCUAUUUCUCCUUCCAGUCCUGUGGGAGGGUUGUAUUUCCUGCCCAUCUGGCGAAGGUUUGUCCUGUCAUAAGCUUGCUUGGCCAAUGAAAGAUGAGCACAGAGAAAAUGUGUCAUUUCUCAGGAUUAAUUUUAAGAUCCACAUCUCUUUUCCCUAGGAAGUUCAUGUCCAGAUGGAGCCCUCAUUGGCUUUGACUCCUGAAUGAUGGCAAGAACAGUGCCUCCCCUCUGUCAAUCCACAAUGAAUAUGUAGCCUGAACCAGAAAUAAACGUGUGGUGUUAAUUUACUGAGAUUUUAGGAUUUGUUUUUACUGCAACCUAACUUACUGUACCCUAAUCUCAUAGAGGAAUAAGAGCACCCACAGGAGAC
Sus scrofa (pig) is the source of this 1906-nucleotide non-coding RNA. The record is from RefSeq and is a predicted model, not a curated record. Lineage: Eukaryota; Metazoa; Chordata; Mammalia; Artiodactyla; Suidae.